Molecule: long non-coding RNA, 9445 nt
Organism: Symphalangus syndactylus (siamang)
Lineage: Eukaryota; Metazoa; Chordata; Mammalia; Primates; Hylobatidae
Source: RefSeq, a predicted model, not a curated record
UAACCCACAUAAGGCAGGCCCUUUGGAAUGUGUUAGGUUUCAUUUGGUAGUGGAAUAGCGUAUUUGAUUAUAUGGUUAGUACUUGGGAAGCAGAAUGAAGUUUGUCACUUAGAAUAGAUUGGUAGUCUUAAAAGAGAGUGUCUAGGGAAUAAGUUGAAUUGUUUCACAAAAAAAAAGGUUAAUUGGAGAAAAAAGUUUUGUGCUCAAUAGUGAACAUAAGUCAUACAAACUUUUGUUGUGUUUACUUGUAUUCUGCUCCAUGUGAUUUUGCAAAAGAAAUAGAACUAUUUGAGUGAAUUGCAGACCUCUUAAUAAUAAAAUACACCUUUUGAAGAAUUUUUUUGAACUGUGACAAAUUAUUGACAUAUAUGCUAUAGGAAUAAAGACUAAAUUGAAUUUUUGAUUUUCUAAUUAUAGAGGCAGCAGAUUGUGGUAGAGGUACUAUUGGUUAUGAGAAAUAAAUGCUGAUGAGAAAUGUUUCUAUAGUUUGUGAUUUCUUACCUAAAUGGAUUCUAUCUCAUAUUUGAUGGUAAACAUGAUGCAUUUGCUUUUUCUGAUUUUGAUUUUAUGCAUUUGUUUUGUUUUUCUAAUUUUGUUUUAUAAGAGUUUCUGAUACAGCCAUCCUUUAAACUUAAGGAAGGCUAUGUAAAUGUAUUAAAAUACCUACUAUAGGUCAGGAAAAAUCUCAGUAACUUUGACCUUUAUUUAGUCAGAAUGGGGACUAGGUUGCUCAUGUUCUCUAAAGACAAUUUUGACUAUUAAGUUGAUGUAUGCCAAAUUUGUUUUUAAAAUAAUUCUGCAACUUAAUAUAAUUUAUAUAGAUUGACUUGAAAGAUGUAGGAUUUCAUUCUUUCAUUAAUUUGUUCAUGCAUGUAACUAAUAUAUAAUGAACACGUAUCGUGGCCUAGGGAUUUUUUUCCAUCUCCUGGGUUAUAGUGGUAAACCAGACAAGCAAAAACCAUGCCUUCUUGGAGCCUAUGUUGUUGUGAUACUUUUCCUUUUGUCUCAUUAGCAGUUUGUGUAUUGAACUUGCUGCAGAGCUGGGGAGGCUGUGCAGGCACUACUGACUCCAGCAUUGCUUCUUUGCUGGGGACUGUGUUGGUUGCAGCCUAAUCCGUUCUUAGCAUUUUGCCUCUUAGAGUCCAGAUUGCCUGUCCACUGUUCAAAAUAGAGACUGAGCAGGGAGACUUAGUUAAAUGAUUUUUCAAACAGUGGGAAAAUAUGACUAGCUACAUUAAGUUUUAUACAAAAUUGUCUGUUAUAUAUGUUUUAAAAUCUCCAUUUGAUAUUUUGGAAUCUUAACUAUUUCUUAUAAAAUACAGCUUUAAGGAUGUUUUCUUUUGUCAGUGAGAAUCAUUAGUCUCCACAUGCAUAUGAUUUUAAAAAGCAACUAUUCAUAAGUGGAGACCAAACCUUAUGAAUUUAGAAGAAUAAACUAAUAACUAUUUUCAUUUUUAAAGCAAACUUUUAAGUACCCGAGAAAUUUGAUGUCCUUUUUAUAAAUAUUUUCUGAAUUUGAUGUGAUUCCUCAGGGUUCAUUUGAGUAGCUUAUCAGUGAAAGAUGAAAUAGUUUGCCAUGUACUUUAGUGUGUAGAACUUGGGAAAUAAAGAUUUCUAUACAGUGAUCAAUGUCUCAAAGGUGGACCAAAUCCUAGUUAAUGGCUUUCUUUGAUCUAGCAAUGUUUUUGAUACCAUAAAGUUUUAUGGUUAAGAAAAAAUAGACGUAAGUGUUUGAGUUUGUUGAAAUAUUUUAAAUAUAUAAAUAAAAUCCUCUGGAGUAAAAAAAUUUUUUUUAAUCUUUUUUGCCCUUCAAGUGAGUUUUGAAUAAGUAAUUUUGUUUUUUACAAAUCAAAACGUGAUGUAGCAAAUGUCUACUUUUUGUAACAGCUGCUCACUAUGAUGAAAAAAAUCUGUCUUACAUAUUUUUGAAGUACUUUUAAUUUACCAAACAUUUAUUAGAAGUUAACCACUUUGCUGGGCACGGUGGCUCACGCCUGUAAUCUCAGCACUUUGGGAGGCCGAGGUGGGUGGAUCACGAGGUCAGGAGUUUGAGACCAGCCUGGCCAAAUGUUGAAACCCUGUCUCUACUAAAAAUAUAAAAAUUAGCCAGGCGUGGUGGCGUGCACCUGUAAUCCCAGCUACUCAGGAGGCUGAGGCAGGAGAAUCGCUUGAACUGGGGAGGGAGAGGUGGCAGUGAGCUGAGAUUGCACCACUGCACUGCAGCCUGGGCAACAGAGCAAGACUCUGGCCGGGUGUGGGUGGGGGUUGGCAGGGGGGAAGUUAACCACUUAAUCAAAACAUCUUAUGUACACAAGUAUAUGUACCUACUGUGUACUCACAAAAAUUAAAAAGAAAAAAAAGUAGGUAUUAGAAAAAAGUGAACCACUUGAUAAUAUGUAGUGUUUUAUACUCUGCCCUCUUUUUCUGCAGUCAUUAUCAUGUUUCCGUGGAUCUUUAGUUUUAACUUUGUGAGAAUGGUUGGAUAGGUGUCAUCCCAUUGUACAGACAAGGAAACCGAGGCCCAACGGUUGUGAUUUUUCCAAGGAAAUGCAGUUCUGUAAGCAUUAGAGCAGGGAUUAGAAGGACCUAGUUCUCAACCGCUGGUGCUAGGUGUAAAGGGGAACCAUCAUUCAAUUUUUCAUAAGUUUUUUUGGUUGGUUGUUUUGUUUUUACUGGUAUAAUGUCCAAAUACAAAUUUAUUUUUUCCUCAUUCUUUUUAUAAGUUCACAUUCAUAGAAAAAUAGUAAGAAUGAUGAAGAAUUUUUGUGUAUACUUCAUCCGGAUUUCUCUACCUCCGGUAACCAUGUUUGCUUUCUUACUAUCUUCUUCACAUACAAAUGAACACAUAAUUUCUUUUCUGAACAUUUUGAGAAUAAAUUGCAAUUCGUGGUACCCUUUACCUCUAAAUAACUCUGUGUAUAUUUUAAAAACAAGCACAUUUUAUUUAACUAUAGUACAACGAUCAAAAUCAAGAAACUGUUGUCUGUAGAUCGUAUUCAGAUUUCACUAAUCAUACCAAUAAUGUCCUUACUAGAGUAAAUUCUACAUCACACCUUACAUUCACUUGUCUUAGUCUCCCUUAAUGUGAAUCAGUUGGUUACUCCUCUUUUCUUGCAUGACCUUUGAGAUGAUAUUUGAUAAAAAUAGGCCAGUAUUUUUAGAAUUGCUUUAAUAUUGAUUUGCUGCUGCUUCACGAUUAGGUUUGGGUUCUAUAUUUUUGGCAGGAACACUCCAGGAUUAAUAUUGUAUUCCUGUCAGCACACCAUAUCAGGAAUCAUGUUGUCCAUAUAUUCCAUUAAUAGAGAUGUAGAGCUUUAUUAUUAUUAUUUUUUUAAAGAGACAGGGAUCUUGCUCUGUUGCCCAGGUUUGAGUGCAGUGGUGUGAUCAUGGCUCACUGCAGUCUCGAACUUCUGGGCUUAAGCAGUCCUUUGACCUCAGCCUUCUGAGUAGCUGGGACUAUAGGUGCAAGCCACCAUGCCUGCCUGAUUUUUUAGAUUUUUGGUAGAGAGGAGGUCAGGCCAUGUUGCUCAGGCUGGGGUGUUAAUUUUUAUCUGCAGGGUUUCCCUACUGCAUAGUUACUGUGUUUUCUUUGUAACUAGUAAUAGUAUCUUCUGGGGAGAUACUUCGAUGCGAAUAUCUUGCUACUGGUCAAAUUUUCACUUGUUUUAGCGUCUUCUUAUCUGAAUCAGAACUAAUGGUGAUUGCCAAAUGGUGAUUUUCUGAGUCUAUCAUUUUUGUAUUUAUUAGUUCGCAUUCUCUACAAGCUUUCCCAUUUAUAUAUGUAGGUGUAUAUGCAUAUUAGUAUGAACUCAUGGUUUUUUUUUUUUUUUUUUGGCGACAGAGUCUCACUCUGUCAUUGUCACCCAGUCUAGAGUGCAGUGGCUUGAUCUCAGCUCACUGCAGCCUCCAUCUCCCAGGUUCAAGCGAUUCUCGUGCCUCAGCUUCCUGACUAGCUGGGGCUACAGGCACGCAACACCAUGCCUGGAUAAUUUUUGUAUUUUUAGUAGAGUCGAGGUUUUGCCAUGUUGGCCAGGCUGGUCUUGAACUCCUGGCCUCAAGUGAUCCAUCUGCCUUGGCCUCCCAAAGUGCUGGGAUUACAGGCUUAAGCCACUGCACCUAGCUAAACUCAUGGAUUUUUUUUUAAUUCACUGAGUUAUCUUUAUACUCUGAUUGUCUCAGUUUUGACUAGGCAAGCUGGCUCCUUUGUCCUUUUGACAAGUCCUCAUUAUUUUUUGAGUUGUCUUAUUCUCUAGUGUAAUAAAAUACUCCCAUCCCGGCCUGGGAAUCAGCCAUUUCUCUAGUUUCUUUUAGUGUGUGUAUAUCUAUCAAUAGAUAGAACUGUAAAUUAUAUAUAUACAUACAUUCUCUCUUUCUCAUCUGUUUUGUAUCUGUUUAUCUAAAAAGCCAUGAAUUCAUCAUAGUAUCUUCAAUUCAAGUCAAAUACAGUAGGGUUCAUUCUAGCUUUCCCUCUUUCCAAGUCUGUCUUUGACAGCAAGAACCCUGGCUUUUGUUAUCUACAAUAUAUUUACUUCUUAUUUGUUCAUUCCUGAAAUACAUAGAAAGUAGUUUCAGAAUUGCUAAAGCAUGUAUCUGUAAACAAACCUAUUAGAGUUUAUUUGUUUAUAAUUCAUUUUUUGUUUUUGCCUAAGGGCAUGUAGUUAAAAUACUAUGUACAAACAUAACUUGGUUAGUUUUCUCCCCCACUUCAAGUGGUUUUGCUAUUAAUUUGAAAUACAGUUAGAUUCAAGUUUUUCUGUUUAUAUUCCAUUUUUUCAUCUUUCAUCCUUGUUUGCUAUCUUUUUAGUAUGUGAAACAUUAAGGAUAAAUUAACUUUAAUCAUUUACUUUUUCCUAGCUUCAGCGUCAUAACUACCUAUGCUCUGAUAAAAAACCAAAACAGCAAAGCAUUUAUUUAACAUUCUUCAGAUAACAUUCUAAAAUUCAGGGGCUUAGAUAUGGAGAAGGAUUUAGGUAAGAGAUCCAAUAGUGCAGAUUCUACUGAUGGGUGAAAUAAAGUAUAUAUUUAGAGAAAAUUUAUUCUCUUAUGAGUGGAAUCUCCAGUCCAGGGGCAGCAAACUUUGUCUGUAGAGUAUUAGUAAAUAUUUUACGUGCUGUGGGCCUCUUUGUAUAUUCUUCGUCUUUUACAAAGCUUAAAAUAUAGAACCGUUCGGCUGAGUGUGGUGGUUAGGCCUGUAAUCUCAGCACUUUGGGAGGCUGAGGCGGGCUGAUGGCUUGAGCUCAGGAGUUCCAGACCAGCCUGGGCAAUAUUGUGAAACAAUAUAUCUCUACAAAAAAUAUUAAUACAAAAAAAUUAGCUAGGCAUGGUGAUGCAUGUCUAUAGUCCCAGCUACUUGGGAAGAUUGCUUAAUCCAGGGAGGUGGAGGUUGCAGUGAGUUGAGAUAUUGCCACUUUAAUCCAGCCUGGGUGACAGAGCAAGACCCUGUCUCAAAACAAAAAAAAACCCCCAUAUAUCAAAAAAAAAAAAAAAAAAAAAAAAAAAAAAAAAAAAAAAAAAAAAAAAAAAAAAAAAACAAACACAUCUGUAGGAUGGAGAAUGUUGCCCAAAUCCAGGGGCUGGCCUGGUUUUGUAAGUAAGUUCUAUUGGAACACACUGUGCUGAUUCAUAUACAAAUUGUUUAUGGUUGUUUUCCUGCUACAAAGGGCAGAGCUGAGGAGUUGUGAUAGAGACAGUAUGACCUGCAAAGGCUAAAAUGGUUACUGUAUGGCCCUUUGAAGAAAAAGUUUGCUGAUGCUGGACCUAAUUGAUGAGUGCUUUUAAGAUCUUGAUUAGAGAUAAGUUUUGUGAUGGAGUAGCCAUCUCAGUUUAGGUAAAAGAUUCCCCAAACCUUGAGGAAUUAGAAAUUGAUUUGACUUACAGAAGUCUUCAGAUUAAAAAUAUGCAUUUGUAGGCUGUGGUGCCUACAAGUGGUAGUAUAGAAACUUAAAAUUGUACAAGUUUAAGGAACGUUCUUUAAUGUACAUGAUGGGAGUUGAAACAUAAAGAAUGAAUUAAUUAGACUGAAAACCAAGGCUCUUGUUUAGUACAUUUUCUUUCCUUUUUUGGGGGGUGGGGGAUGGAGUCUCGCUCUGUUGUUUAGUAUAUUUUCAUUGAAAUGAUAAGUCUCGAGUGGCCAAAGGAAAGGACAGGUGAAGACUGGUAGGUUAUUUCAAUCCCUGAGGUCAGAUGAGCAUAGAGAAUUUGCACAAGUAAAGGGUUUGGUCAUUUGACAUUAGAUAAUAUUAGAACAUGGCAUAUGUGGGGAAUAAACUUUUCAUUUAGAAAGCAUUUAGGAAGUUCAGAGAGAGUAAUAGCACAGCAGGUACCAGUAGCCCUAGAAAAGGUAGAAUUUGAUGGAACAAACUAACUGGGGUCAGCAGUCACUUAAGAUUUUGGAAAACAUGGCAGCAGGGAGCCAGAUCCCAAGAAGUAGACUGAUAAGAUGGAAACCUAUAGAGAACACUGGGUAGCUGGAGAGCCCAAGCCUACGGAGCGUGUAGCCAUGGUCUUCUCACCCAAGCACAGAGAUGGAAUCAGCAGGCAAAGGAAAAGUAAGGUCUCAGAAUCAGCUGUCAUUCUUUUUCAGUGUUUUUCAGUGUAAAACCAUGAUUUUCUAUCCUGGAUCAGAUUUUGAGAAUAUGAAGAGAAUAACAUUCCCAAUUCUUGGAGGCAGGUUAACAUUAUCUGAUUAGAAUGAGAAUUGGAAUGAAGCUUGGUAGUUCCUAAUAGCAGUGUGUUACAGCAAUAUUAAUAAAUUAUCCAUUGGAUAAUGAAGGUUUAUUAUUGAAUGCUUGCUGUGUACCAGGCAUUGUCAUGUCUUGUAGAUGUAAAUAAAUUAAAUAUAGUCUCUUUAUGUACAUUAUUUAAGGAAGUUUAUUAAAAGCUUCUAAUGGGCCAGCAUCAUCAUAUUUUUCUAAAGUACUGAUUGUUAGUUAUAGUGUCAUUCAUAAAAUUCUCAACAAAUGGUCUUUGAUGGAGGUCCUUGGAAGGCAGCUAUGCUCACCACUAUACCACCAGCACCGUCAGAUGGAGGUCUUUGGAGGAUUAAGUUUGAUGCUUGGGAUUGAGCGGUAGUGAACUGUAUAGAACACCUAAAUUUUGGACAAAUUUAUUUGGAAACUACAUGAUGACAGAGUGCUUCUGAAGUCAUGUGCUGGGUUCACAUUAGUUCAGUAAAUGUUGAAUAAACUUUAACCGAUUUAUAAAGAACCAUGAAACAGCUUAGUUAACAAAAUUAAACACAAUAGAAAACAGUUUAUUUUUGUAUCCAAUGAAACUAGUUAAAUAUAGCAGAGAAAUAGAUGUCAGUAGACAUUUGAAAUGUGUGUUCAGAUUAGUAGAAUAAACGUAUCAGCAAGAUCCCUAGAAGCCAAGGAAAGAAGCAGGAAACUUGUUAAAUCACAUAUCUUUGAUAAAAAGUAAGCACCAAGCUAACUGAAUCACUCUCUAAUUUCUGGAUUUAAGUAGAUUAUUUCUUUAAUUGGAUCAGUAAAUGACACUGUUCUAGGGGAAAUUUUUAUCAACCUUCUUUAAAGUUGAGAACUUAAUAAUAAAGGAAUUCAGUGAAGAAUUAGAUGAAAUGAUGUUUUCUGAUGAUCAGAUUUACCAAAUUAGAUUUUAGAGACUCUAGAGAAAUAGUUGGAGGCAUAUGUACAGCUGACCCUUGAACAGCGGGAAGUUUAAGGGCGCCAACCCCCUGUGUAGCUGAAAAUCAUAUAACUUUUGACUCUUCCGCAACUAAUAAUAGACUACUGUUGACCAGAAACCUUAACAAUAACAUAAACAGUUGAUUAACACAUAUUUUAUAUGUUAUAUAUAUUAUAUACUGUAUUCUUAAAAUAAGAGAAAAGAAAAUGUUAUUAAGAAAAUUAUCAGGAAGAGAAAAUAUAUUUACUAUUCAUUAAGUAGAAGUAGGUCAUCAUAAAAAUCUUUACCCUUGUCUUCAUGUUGAGUAGGCUGAGGAAGGGAAAGAGGAGUGAUUGGUCUUGCUGUCUCAGGGAUGGCAGAGGCAGAAGAUGUGGAGGAGAUGGAAGGGGAGGCAGGAGAGGCAGGCACACUCAGUGUAACUUUACAGAAAAUAUAAUUUCUGUCCAACUUUUUUGCUUUUUCAUUUCUCUAAAAAUGUUUCUAUACCAUGGCACCAAUUCUUCUUCCACUGUUGGCUUUAAUUUUAGUGCCUGUGUCAUAGGAGGGUUUGUGUCCUAAAAAUAAAUCAAAAGCAGUCUUGGAUAAUUGUAACCCUUCUGCCAGAUUGUCUAAAGUAGACUUGUUUUCUGGCACUGCUUCGUCUGCUUCUUCCUGACCGUCUGGCACUGGUUUGGAAGCACUCUUCUUCAGCAAGUUGUCUUCUGUUAAUUCCUCUGAUGUGGUUUCCAUUAGCUCUUGAAUUUCUCCAAGAUUCAUAUCCUGAAACCCUUCACCUCCCUCCAGCAGCACCCCCCCUUUUUUUUUUUUUUGCUAUAUCCACAAUUUUAUGAUUUCCUUCAUUGCUUCUGUUUUGUUUUUGUUUUUGUUUUUUGAGAGGGAGUCUUGCUCUGUUGCCCAGGCUGGAGUGCAGUGGCACAAUCUCGGCUCACUGCAAGCUCCGCCUCCCGGGUUCACGCCAUUCUCCUGCCUCAGCCUCUCCGAGUAGUUGGGACUACAGGUGCCCGCUACCAUGCCUGGCUAAUUUUUUGUAUUUUUAGUAGAGAUGGGGUUUCACCGUGGUCUCGAUCUCCUGACCUCGUGAUCCGCCCGCCUCGGCCUCCCAAAGUGCUGAGAUUACAAGCGUGAGCCACUGCGCCCGGCCUGGUUCUGUUAUAAAUCCUAUGAAGUCACGUGCAACAUCUGGACACAGUUUUGUCCACCAGGAAUUGAUUGUUUUGUGCUUCAUGGCUUUCAAAGCUUUUUUUGUGGCAGUGGUGGCAUCUUCAGUGGUAUAAUACUUCCAGACUUCUAUGAUGUUCUGUUGGGGUUCUCUUCCACAGCAUUGACAAUCCUUUUUAUAGACUACAAUGUAUAAUGAGCCUUAAAGGUCCUUAUGACCCCCGAUCUAGAGACUGAAUUAAGAGAUGUCUCAUUUGGGGACAUGUAGACUACUUUGACGCCUUCAUUGUUGCAUGGAGUUAUGGGUGGCCAGGGACAUUGUCCAGUAUGAAAAGAAUUUUAAAAGGCAGUCCCUUACUGGCAAGGGUACUUCCUGACUUCAGGGACAAAGCAUUGAUGGAACCAGUCCAAAAAAAGCCCAGGCCUUCCUUCUGUACAACCAAAAGACUGGUAGCCAGCCAGUGUCUUCUGUCUUUUCCUAUCAAGGCUCAGGUUGGCAGCUUUAUAGAAAGGGCAGUCCUGAUUAUAAGCCUGACUGCAUUUGCACAAAACAGUAGAGUUAGUCUAUACCUUCCUGCUUUAAAUCCUGAUGUUUGCCUCUCUUCCUUACCAAUAAUUGUUCUUUGUGGUAUUUUUUUUUUUU